ACCCAGAUGACGAGUUUCAAAUAGGACGAAAUGUACAUCCUGGAU
This 45-nucleotide non-coding RNA is filed under the name Trichobilharzia regenti. Lineage: Eukaryota; Metazoa; Platyhelminthes; Trematoda; Strigeidida; Schistosomatidae. The record is from RNAcentral.